This 450-nucleotide ribosomal RNA is filed under the name Streptococcus mitis. Its description in RNAcentral is "bacterial SSU rRNA". It matches the Rfam family "Bacterial small subunit ribosomal RNA", at positions 28 to 466 of the family's 1533-position model. Lineage: Bacteria; Bacillati; Bacillota; Bacilli; Lactobacillales; Streptococcaceae. The record is from RNAcentral.
GACGAACGCUGGCGGCGUGCCUAAUACAUGCAAGUAGAACGCUGAAGGAGGAGCUUGCUUCUCUGGAUGAGUUGCGAACGGGUGAGUAACGCGUAGGUAACCUGCCUGGUAGCGGGGGAUAACUAUUGGAAACGAUAGCUAAUACCGCAUAAGAGUAGAUGUUGCAUGACAUUUGCUUAAAAGGUGCAAUUGCAUCACUACCAGAUGGACUGCGUGUAUUAGCUAGUUGGUGGGGUAACGGCUCACCAAGGCGACGAUACAUAGCCGACCUGAGAGGGUGAUCGGCCACACUGGGACUGAGACACGGCCCAGACUCCUACGGGAGGCAGCAGUAGGGAAUCUUCGGCAAUGGACGGAAGUCUGACCGAGCAACGCCGCGUGAGUGAAGAAGGUUUUCGGAUCGUAAAGCUCUGUUGUAAGAGAAGAACGAGUGUGAGAGUGGAAAGUUCA